GUCUCUCUUCAGCAGCAUAUAUACACUAAAAUUAGAGGAUGCAGAGAGGAUGCAUAGCCCCGCACAAGGAUGAUACACAAAUCUGUGAAGCAUUCCGUAAUUUU
This 104-nucleotide small nuclear RNA is filed under the name Microtus ochrogaster (prairie vole). Lineage: Eukaryota; Metazoa; Chordata; Mammalia; Rodentia; Cricetidae. The record is from RNAcentral.